This 253-nucleotide ribosomal RNA is filed under the name uncultured bacterium. RNAcentral describes it as "partial 16S ribosomal RNA". It matches the Rfam family "Bacterial small subunit ribosomal RNA", at positions 524 to 776 of the family's 1533-position model. The record is from RNAcentral.
UACAGAGGGUGCGAGCGUUGUCCGGAAUCACUGGGCGUAAAGGGCGCGUAGGUGGCGACCCAAGUCGAUGGUGAAAGCUCGCCGCUCAACGGCGAGUCGGCCACCGAUACUGGGUUGCUGGAGCACUGUAGAGGCUCAUGGAAUUCCGGGUGUAGCGGUGGAAUGCGUUGAGAUCCGGAAGAACACCGGUGGCGAAGGCGGUGAGCUGGGCAGUUGCUGACACUGAGGCGCGACAGCGUGGGGAGCAAACAGG